This is a long non-coding RNA of Haemorhous mexicanus (house finch), 935 nucleotides long. RefSeq lists it as uncharacterized. The record is from RefSeq and is a predicted model, not a curated record. The transcript is spliced from 3 exons. NCBI's taxonomy places the organism in Eukaryota, Metazoa, Chordata, Aves, Passeriformes, Fringillidae.
AGAGCAAAGAGCAGCAGAAGGGGAAGGUCUCUCUCUCUCUCCUCCGGUGGGGUGGAGGUGCCAGGCACAGCCAGGGGAUGGAAGGACAGCCCUCUCCUCAUCCUGCCACCCCAAGCACCAGACUUGGCCCAUGCUUUCAUACUGCACACCUCUCCUGUCCCUUUGAAAGGAAUCCUACGGGCAUUCUAAAGCAGGAAGAGUUUGUGGAGUGAGCUGGAUCAUCAAAAUGAAACACUGAUUAAUUUUUGCAACACUUAAGGAAAAUGUCAGACAUGAAAAUGUUGUCCUGUGCCACCACUGUAUAUGCAGGGCUCCAGUGAUGUUAGAGCUCUGCUGGGCAAGCUUCCUUCAAAUGCUGCUCUCUGUCCUUUUUCCUGCUGUUGUUCUAUCACCUUUUUAAACCAAGUGGGACUCCAGGGAAGGCUCAGCCAUGAAAAGCUCCUUGCAGUCCUUUGCCUGCCCAUUGCUGACGUGGCCAAAGGUUUCUGUGCCAGGCCUCCCUUUGCACUGGGACUUGAGGACAUCUGAGUGUGCUUCUGGUUCUCAGGCUCAGCUUUGGUGUGAUGGACACUGUGCCCUGGAUCUCACCUUUGGUGUGAUGGACACCCUGCCCUGGACCUCAUUCUCACCUUUGGUGUGAUGGACACCCUGCCCUGACCUCACCUUUGGUGUGAUGGACACCCUGCCCUGGAUCUCAGCUUUGGUGUGAUGGACACCCUGCCCUGGAUCUCAGCUUUGGUGUGAUGGACACCCUGCCCUGGAUCUCAGCUUUGGUGUGAUGGACACCCUGCCUUGGACCUCAUUCUCAGCUUUGGUGUGAUGGACACCCUGCCCUGGACCUCACCUUUGGUGUGAUGGACACCCUGCCCUGACCUCACCUUUGGUGUGAUGGAUACCCUGCCCUGACCUCACCUUUGGUGUGAUGGACACCCUGC